RNAcentral lists this ribosomal RNA (397 nucleotides) under uncultured bacterium. RNAcentral's name for it is "partial 16S ribosomal RNA". It matches the Rfam family "Bacterial small subunit ribosomal RNA", at positions 523 to 918 of the family's 1533-position model. The record is from RNAcentral.
AUACGUAGGGGGCGAGCGUUGUCCGGAAUGAUUGGGCGUAAAGGGCGCGUAGGCGGCCCGGUAAGUCUGGAGUGAAAGUCCUGUUUUUAAGAUGGGAAUUGCUUUGGAUACUGUCGGGCUUGAGUGCAGGAGAGGUAAGUGGAAUUCCCAGUGUAGCGGUGAAAUGCGUAGAGAUUGGGAGGAACACCAGUGGCGAAGGCGACUUACUGGACUGUAACUGACGCUGAGGCGCGAAAGUGUGGGGAGCAAACAGGAUUAGAUACCCUAGUAGUCCACACUGUAAACGAUGAAUGCUAGGUGUAGGGGGUAUCGACCCCUUCUGUGCCGCAGUCAACACAAUAAGCAUUCCGCCUGGGGAGUACGGCCGCAAGGUUGAAACUCAAAGGAAUUGGCGGGG